RNAcentral lists this ribosomal RNA (429 nucleotides) under uncultured bacterium. RNAcentral's name for it is "bacterial SSU rRNA". It matches the Rfam family "Bacterial small subunit ribosomal RNA", at positions 355 to 776 of the family's 1533-position model. The record is from RNAcentral.
UCGGGAAUAUUGGGCAAUGGGCGAAAGCCUGACCCAGCAACGCCGCGUGAAGGAUGAAGGCCCUCGGGUCGUAAACUUCUGUCGAGAGGGAAGAACGCGUGCGGGUGAAUAAUCCGUACGUCUGACGGUACCUCCAAAGGAAGCACCGGCUAACUCCGUGCCAGCAGCCGCGGUAAUACGGAGGGUGCAAGCGUUGUUCGGAUUUAUUGGGCGUAAAGCGAGUGUAGGCGGCUUGACAAGUCGGAUGUGAAAUCCCGGGGCCCAACCCCGGAACUGCACCCGAUACUGUCAGGCUAGAGUCCCGGAGAGGGUGGCGGAAUUCCCGGUGUAGGGGUGAAAUCCGUAGAUAUCGGGAGGAACACCAGUGGCGAAGGCGGCCACCUGGACGGUGACUGACGCUGAGACUCGAAAGCGUGGGUAGCAAACAGG